RNAcentral lists this long non-coding RNA (291 nucleotides) under Malus domestica (apple). RNAcentral's name for it is "long non-coding RNA (MDOM_LNC006131)". The record is from RNAcentral. Lineage: Eukaryota; Viridiplantae; Streptophyta; Magnoliopsida; Rosales; Rosaceae.
AUCGGCGACGUAGACCCGGUGGAUGUGGUGGCCAAACUGAGAAAAGGGUGGUACACAGACAUUCUAACAGUUGGGCCAGCAAAGGAAGAAAAGAAAGAUGAUAAGAAAGAUGGAGGGGCUGCCAAAAAAGAUGAAGGCAAGAAAGAAGAUGAUAAGAAGAAAGCUGAUCCAGUUGCUGAACUUGUCAAAGCCUACCAAGCAUACAAUCCUCACUGACCAAGUACUACUAUGUCCAAAGUGCUGAAGAAAACCCUAAUUCCUGCGUUAUCUGUUAAUUAAUUGAUGAUUAUG